UACGGGGGGGGUAAGCGUUGUUCGGAAUUACUGGGCGUAAAGGGCUCGUAGGCGGCCAACUAAGUCAGACGUGAAAUCCCCAGGCUUAACUUGGGAACUGCGUCUGAUACUGGGAGGCUUGAGUGCGGGAGAGGGAUGUGGAAUUCCAGGUGUAGCGGUGAAAUGCGUAGAUAUCUGGAGGAACACCGGUGGCGAAGGCGGCAUCCUGGACCGACACUGACGCCGAGGCGCGAAAGCUAGGGGAGCAAACGGG
Molecule: ribosomal RNA, 253 nt
Filed under: uncultured bacterium
Lineage: Bacteria
Description: partial 16S ribosomal RNA
Rfam family: Bacterial small subunit ribosomal RNA
Source: RNAcentral